This 385-nucleotide ribosomal RNA is filed under the name uncultured bacterium. RNAcentral's name for it is "bacterial SSU rRNA". It matches the Rfam family "Bacterial small subunit ribosomal RNA", at positions 30 to 417 of the family's 1533-position model. The record is from RNAcentral.
AUUGAACGCUGGCGGCAUGCCUUACACAUGCAAGUCGAACGGCAGCGGACCUUCGGGUGCCGGCGAGUGGCGAACGGGUGAGUAAUAUAUCGGAACGUACCUUUCAGUGGGGGAUAACGUAGCGAAAGUUACGCUAAUACCGCAUAUUCUGUGAGCAGGAAAGCAGGGGAUCGCAAGACCUUGCGCUGAUUGAGCGGCCGAUAUCAGAUUAGCUAGUCGGUGAGGUAAAGGCUCACCAAGGCGACGAUCUGUAGCGGGUCUGAGAGGAUGAUCCGCCACACUGGAACUGAGACACGGUCCAGACUCCUACGGGAGGCAGCAGUGGGGAAUUUUGGACAAUGGGCGCAAGCCUGAUCCAGCCAUGCCGCGUGAGUGAAGAAGGCCU